UGGGGAAUUUUGGACAAUGGGCGAAAGCCUGAUCCAGCAAUGCCGCGUGCAGGAAGAAGGCCUUCGGGUUGUAAACUGCUUUUGUACGGAACGAAACGGUCUGCCCUAAUACGGCGGGCUAAUGACGGUACCGUAAGAAUAAGCACCGGCUAACUACGUGCCAGCAGCCGCGGUAAUACGUAGGGUGCGAGCGUUAAUCGGAAUUACUGGGCGUAAAGCGUGCGCAGGCGGUCUUGUAAUACAGUCGUGAAAGCCCCGGGCUUAACCUGGGAACUGCAUUUGUGACUGCAUAGCUGGAGUGCGGCGGAGGGGGAUGGAAUUCGGCGUGUAGCAGUGAAAUGCGUAGAUAUGCGGAGGAACACCGAUGGCGAAGGCAAUCCCCUGGGCCUGCACUGACGCUCAUGCACGAAAGCGUGGGGAGCAAACA
This 427-nucleotide ribosomal RNA is filed under the name uncultured bacterium. Its description in RNAcentral is "bacterial SSU rRNA". It matches the Rfam family "Bacterial small subunit ribosomal RNA", at positions 355 to 774 of the family's 1533-position model. The record is from RNAcentral.